AUACGAAGGGGGCUAGCGUUGUUCGGAAUUACUGGGCGUAAAGCGCGCGUAGGCGGACUGAUCAGUUGGGGGUGAAAUCCCAGGGCUUAACCCUGGAACUGCCUUCAAUACUGUCAGUCUUGAGAUUGGAAGAGGUGAGUGGAAUUCCUAGUGUAGAGGUGAAAUUCAUAGAUAUUAGGAGGAACACCAGUGGCGAAGGCGGCUCACUGGUCCAAUACUGACGCUGAGGUACGAAAGCGUGGGGAGCAAACAGGAUUAGAAACCCUUGUAGUCC
RNAcentral lists this ribosomal RNA (274 nucleotides) under uncultured bacterium. RNAcentral describes it as "partial 16S ribosomal RNA". It matches the Rfam family "Bacterial small subunit ribosomal RNA", at positions 523 to 796 of the family's 1533-position model. The record is from RNAcentral.